ACAGUUACAGUUGUAGUUCGGUAGUAUUUGUGCAGGCAAAUCUAGCAGAAAGUUCGCUUUCUUCUGUCAGAUCAACAAAGAAAAAAAUUGAAAGUGCGCAAAACAUCGAUUGCGAGUGAAUAUUUCUCUUCCAUUUAAAGAUGAAAAAUGUAUCGCUCACAAUUCGAACGGGUCAAGAGACCGGUGCCAAGAGAUGUGCCUUUACACAGUGUUCUACAUGUUCUUUUGUUUCAAUACGAGGUUAACAUGCAGCAACAACCGAUGGUUAUGUUUCUUCCGCAAGUCCUGUUCUCCAAAGUUCUCUAUUCUCCAGUACAAACCAAGCUACAAAUUAGGCACUGAAGCUUAUAAACGCCAACUAUGUUUGUGUUAUAAAUGUAUAUAUAAAAUGUAUGUUAAUUAUAAUUAUUAAUAAUAAAUGCAUUUACUGCACUAAAACUCUGUUCA
This is a long non-coding RNA of Armigeres subalbatus, 447 nucleotides long. RefSeq lists it as uncharacterized. NCBI's taxonomy places the organism in Eukaryota, Metazoa, Arthropoda, Insecta, Diptera, Culicidae. The transcript is spliced from 3 exons. The record is from RefSeq and is a predicted model, not a curated record.